UGACGGUACCCUACUAGAAAGGAGCCGCUAACUUCGUGCCAGAAGCGUCGGUAAUACGGGGGCUCCAAGCGUUAUCCGGUGUUAUUGAGCGUAAAGAGUCGUGUAGGUGGUUGGGUAAGUUAUCUUUCAAAUAUCUUUGCUUAACAAAGAGGAGGGGGAUAAUACUGCUCGACUAGAAUUUUCUCAAGGGAGAUCGGAACUGAGGGAGGAGUAGUGAAAUGCGUUGAUACCCUCGGGAACACCAGUGGCGUAGGCGGAUCUCUGGGAGAAGAUUGACACUGAGACACGAAAGCUAGGGGAGCGAAGCAGAUUAGAGACCUGCGUAGUCCUAGCCGUAAACGCAUGCUUGCUAGCUGCAUGAAUCUACCUUCGGGUGGUAUCGUGUGGCGAAGGUAACCCGUUAAGCAAGCCGCCUGGAAAGUACGGCCGCAAGGCUGAAAUUCAAAGGAAUUGGCGGGGAGGCACACAACCAGUGGAACAUGUGGUUUAAUUCGAGACUAACCGAAGAACCUCACCAGGGUUUGACAUGUAGCUGCACGUCUUAAGAAAUUAAGACUCUCUUGAAGGUGCUACACAGGUGCUGCAUGGCUGUCGUCAGCUCGUUCCGUGAGGAGUGCCCUUAAGUGGGACAACGAGCGCAACCCCUAUUACAUGUUAGAAAUGUCAUGUAAGACUGCCUUGCCAUUUGGCGGGGAGGAAGGAGGGGCAGACGUCAAGUCCGCAUGGUCCUUAUGCCCUGGGCUACACACAUGUUACAAUGAGUACGGCAAUGAGUCUGUCGCGAGCACGUAAGUGUAAGCUAAUCUCUUAAAUGUACUCUCAGUGGGGAUUGAGGUCUGCAACUCGACCUCAUGAACACGGAAUUGGUAGUAAUCGCGGGUCAGCUAUACCGCGGUGAAUACGUUCUUGCCUCUUGCACACACCGCCCGUCAAACCAGCAAAGUCGAUUGUAUCCGAACCU
RNAcentral lists this ribosomal RNA (961 nucleotides) under uncultured organism. RNAcentral's name for it is "bacterial SSU rRNA". It matches the Rfam family "Bacterial small subunit ribosomal RNA", at positions 470 to 1428 of the family's 1533-position model. The record is from RNAcentral.